This 320-nucleotide long non-coding RNA is filed under the name Phaseolus vulgaris (common bean). Its description in RNAcentral is "long non-coding RNA (PVUL_LNC000091)". Lineage: Eukaryota; Viridiplantae; Streptophyta; Magnoliopsida; Fabales; Fabaceae. The record is from RNAcentral.
CACACCCUCACCCACCAAUCCAUCCCCGUCCCCGACGUCCACUGGUCGGGCCGGGUCUGGGCCCGUACCGGCUGCACCUACUCCGGCACCGCCUUUUCCUGCUCCAGCGGAGACUGCGGCGGCCGUCUCCAGUGCAACGGUGCUGGUGGCGCCGCCCCCGCCUCCUUGGCGCAGGUGGAGGCCCACCACGGCAACGGCGACUACGUCUCCUACAGCGUGAGCCUCGUGGACGGUUUUAACGUCCCCAUGACCGUGACCCCGCACGAGGGCAAAGGCGUGUGCCCGGUGGUUGGUUGCCGCGCCGAGUUGCUGGCCACGUG